AUGAAUUUUGUCUUUCCAACAGAGGCCUUUUGCACCACCAAAAAAAAUCCCAACAGUUUGCCAGCACUUCCCUUGGAAAGUCAUUCUCUUUCACAUGAGAGCGAUGAGAUAGCAAAACAUUUGUUGGAUCGUCUCUCACAAGGAUACGUUACUCAGAGAAGAAAGUAUUACAGCCUGGUUGCAAGCAGCACUCCAUCUUCUGGUGUGGAUGUCUUCCCACCUGUCAGUUCCACUCAGGCAGCUGAAUGCUGUAUCACACAGGACAGCAGCAGCUCCAGGAAGAGCAACACAGAGCCACAGCUGAAAUCUCCCAGCUCCCUGGUUUCACCUACUCAAACCACUGUUACUCCUGAUAGAAAGUCUUUGAGCAAAGAGAUUUUCUGUGAUCAGCCACAGCAUAAAGAAACUGGGUGUGGUGUUGAAAUGGACCCCACAUACAGCAGACUCCCUGAGUUUGUUCCUGUGAAGGCUAAAAACAAAGGUAAUUGUAAAACUGGUGAAAAAAAGCCUGGUAAGAAAGCAAGUAUGGGAAAAAAAAAAACAAAUGCAACUAAAAAAAAGGGAGAAAGUAGUCCCAAUAGAGCUGAAGGUGAAGAGACUGCUCAGAAUACUAAGAAGCUUCUUCAGCCAAAAGUUGCAACACGUCCUAGUGAGUCUGAAGUUUCUGAGAUGAGGCAAAAGGGUUGCAUGGAUGCUUUUGACAGGGACAGCACAGGCUGUGGUACAGAGCAACAUUCCUGCUUUCCUGCUGAAGUCUUCCAUUCCAGAAGAACAUAUGUGGUGAAUCCAGCACAGCUGCACAGUCCUGAAAGUAGUGACUUACUCCAACAGGUUAAGAAGGAUACUACCUUUGAGAUCCAGCAUAUGGAAAGCUUGCCAGGAAGCCCAGUUUGUACCUUCUCAAGUCUUGAAGCUCCCCCGGAUGAUUCCAGUCUACAAAAUUCACUUUUCUUGAGGAAAGAGACCUCAAGAGCCUGUGCUUUGCAAGAGGACUCAAGUGUGAGGACAAAGAGCGUAAGACAGAAAACCAACAGAAAAACUAGAAUUAUUAGGCAAAGAGGUGACUCCAAGGAAGAGAAUCUGCCAAACAGUGUGAAAACAGCAGAGGCCAAAGCUGAAGAACAGCCUAAAAGCCAGACAAGAAGGAGGAAGACUGUCAGGAAAGGCAGUUGUCAUGAUCUGAGAAAUGAAGUCGAUGGUUUUGGCCUAUGUAUAGAUGUUCAAGGAGUAACUGAGGAGAGCACAAAGGAUUUACAAGGUAAUCUUAAACGCAGCAGGAAAACUUACAUUGUGAGUCCUUUGCAUCUUGCAGAAAACUUGGGUUGUGUCCAGACAGAUUCUGAAGACAGUGACGUUGUAUCUCCCAGGACUGUUCCUGGGAGCAAAGCUAGCAAAAUCCCCAGAGCUCACAGGAUGGUAGCUGCUCAGAACAAGACAAAGGGCCUUCAAGAAAAGGGGCAAGCUAAAGUUCACAACAACAUGAGCACUUCAGAAAAAGACUCCUGUUCCAAACCAAAGCUUCAGAGGGAGAGCACCACCUCUAGACCUCCAGGAACUGAUUCCCUGGCCAGACGAAGUGAUGGUGCCAAAGUGCUCAUUGCAAGUUCAGCAGAACUUGCAUCCAAGCAAACUCUCCUGACAGGGAAGAUUUCCUGCAUUGCAGAUAUGCCUAAUCCAGAUGCUUAUCUGGAGGAGCAGAUGGCAAAUACGGACCUUUCACAUCUUAAAUCCUCCAAUGUGACCUAUUCUGCAGCUUUGUCUGUCAGCUCCUGGCUCAUAGAUGCACCAGUUUCCAAGAGCUUAAGUACUGAGGGCAACACAAUGCCAGAGAAAUCCUCUGUUUGGCUGGAAAGCUUCUUAAUAUCUAAAGAAAAGACUGCAGAGGAAGUACCUGGGGAAGGAAGCCAGGUGAAGCCAAGUUCUCAGAGCUCACCUUCACAGGAACCUGCGACCAGGCCACUGCAGGACUUGACCAAUGCCAGCACUUUGUCUUCCUCUAGCUCUGAAGGAGCGACAGGGCACUCAUCCAAGCGGAGACGGGAACCAGGCUACUACAAAGAGCCAAGACUGAACAGCAAACUGAGGCAGGGUGACCCAUUUACAAACACAGAGUUCCUCAACAACCUUACCAAGAAAACCAAAAAGAGAAGAACUGCAAAAGCCAAGGAAAUUACCAUGAAGAUCAAAAAAGAAAAAGAAUAG
Molecule: long non-coding RNA, 2202 nt
Organism: Amazona collaria (yellow-billed parrot)
Lineage: Eukaryota; Metazoa; Chordata; Aves; Psittaciformes; Psittacidae
Source: Ensembl